RNAcentral lists this ribosomal RNA (106 nucleotides) under uncultured bacterium. RNAcentral's name for it is "partial 16S ribosomal RNA". It matches the Rfam family "Bacterial small subunit ribosomal RNA", at positions 1379 to 1482 of the family's 1533-position model. The record is from RNAcentral.
CCUUGUACACACCGCCCGUCACACCAUGGGAGUUGGUUUCACCCGAAGACGGUACGCUAACCCGCAAGGGAGGCAGCCGGCCACGGUGGGAUCAGCGACUGGGGUG